Molecule: transfer RNA, 81 nt
Filed under: Kitasatospora aureofaciens
Lineage: Bacteria; Bacillati; Actinomycetota; Actinomycetes; Kitasatosporales; Streptomycetaceae
Description: tRNA-Tyr
Source: RNAcentral
UUGACUCGCUGGUCGAUGGUCAGGCCGGCCCGGUAGAGGCCGUAGGCGACCCGGCGUUCCGCCGCCGCCGCGAGUUGGUCC